RNAcentral lists this long non-coding RNA (848 nucleotides) under Parus major (Great Tit). Its description in RNAcentral is "lncRNA (ENSPMJG00000009100.1)". The stretch from base 228 to 307 matches the Rfam family "mir-363 microRNA precursor family". Lineage: Eukaryota; Metazoa; Chordata; Aves; Passeriformes; Paridae. The record is from RNAcentral.
GGUUUUCAAGCUUUUUUUUUUUCCUUCUCUCCCCCACCCUCCUCUUUUUUUUGUUUUCAUGGAAGACUUGAAGAUGCCUUGCACUGAUUUCUCCAUGGGUGGGGAUUUGUUGCAUUACUUGUAGCUGUAUGUAGAGUAUUGCACUUGUCCCGGCCUGUGGAGGAAAGGAGGACUUGUCAUCAGGCUGAACUGCCCCAAAUUUGCCAGUUUGAUAAAGCUCUUGUUUUGCUGUUGUCGGGUGGAUCACGAUGCAAUUUUGAUUAGUUUAGUAGGAGAAAAAUUGCACGGUAUCCAUCUGUAAACCGCAAGACCUUCAUCGCUGACAGUGAGGCUUGUGUCAGUAACCACAGCUCACAAGACCAUCCUUGCUGGUGGCUCCACAGCUUCAAGGGACACGAAGAAAGAAAACUUCAAUACUAAGGUUUUUCAAAGCUUCACUUGGGAAAUAAACCAAAACCCCACAGAAAGCAAACCCCCAAAACCCCAGAGGUGGCUGCUGGGGCAAGUAUCCAAGAAGAUGUUGGUGUUUGGAGCCCUGGUCAUCUUUCACUGCUGUUUCUGGCAGCUGCACUCGCUGCCUGCCUGUGGCUGCUGUCUGGUGUGGAGUGGCAGAGCUCCUGCUGGGAUCCCCAUCUGUGUGCUGAGCCUUGGAAGGCUCUUCCUUCCUAGCUGUCAGCUUCUGUGGGGUCUCACAUUACCUCCACCAUCACACCCUUGUGACAUGGGGAGAUGUUUCACUUGGAAGACAUCAAAGCAAGAUCACAACAGUUCUGAGGCUUGGACGUCAGCCUGCUCCAUAAUCAGAGGAAGCAAAAGGUGAAAUCCUUGAAUAAACCUUUUUAAAAGAC